This 485-nucleotide ribosomal RNA is filed under the name uncultured bacterium. RNAcentral describes it as "partial 16S ribosomal RNA". It matches the Rfam family "Bacterial small subunit ribosomal RNA", at positions 30 to 507 of the family's 1533-position model. The record is from RNAcentral.
AUUGAACGCUGGCGGCAUGCCUUACACAUGCAAGUCGAACGGCAGCACGGGUGCUUGCACCUGGUGACGAGUGGCGAACGGGUGAGUAAUACAUCGGAACGUACCUUAUCGUGGGGGAUAACGCAGCGAAAGUUGCGCUAAUACCGCAUACGCCCUGAGGGGGAAAGCGGGGGACCGUAAGGCCUCGCGCGAUUAGAGCGGCCGAUGUCUGAUUAGCUUGUUGGUGAGGUAAAAGCUCACCAAGGCGAUGAUCAGUAGCUGGUCUGAGAGGACGAUCAGCCACACUGGGACUGAGACACGGCCCAGACUCCUACGGGAGGCAGCAGUGGGGAAUUUUGGACAAUGGGGGCAACCCUGAUCCAGCAAUGCCGCGUGAGUGAAGAAGGCCUUCGGGUUGUAAAGCUCUUUUGUCAGGGAAGAAACAGCAGCUCUAACACAGUCUGCGAAUGACGGUACCUGAAGAAUAAGCACCGGCUAACUACGUG